RNAcentral lists this microRNA precursor (61 nucleotides) under Triops cancriformis. RNAcentral's name for it is "microRNA tcf-mir-92b precursor". Its record names the gene tcf-mir-92b. Lineage: Eukaryota; Metazoa; Arthropoda; Branchiopoda; Notostraca; Triopsidae. The record is from miRBase by way of RNAcentral.
AGGCUGGUUCAGGGGCAAAUUGUUGGAUAACGUGAGUCAAAUUGCACUUGUCCCGGCCUGC